Molecule: ribosomal RNA, 279 nt
Filed under: uncultured bacterium
Lineage: Bacteria
Description: partial 16S ribosomal RNA
Rfam family: Bacterial small subunit ribosomal RNA
Source: RNAcentral
UGCCAGCCGCCGCGGAAAUACGUAAGUCGCAAGCGUUGUCCGGAUUUACUGGGCGUAAAGAACGCGUAGGCGGUUAUUUAAGUUGGAGGUGAAAUCUUGAGGCUCAACCUCAAGCCUGCCUUCAAAACUGAAUAACUAGAGUUUCGGAGAGGAAGAUGGUAUUCCAUGUGUAGCGGUGAAAUGCGUAGAUAUAUGGGAGAACACCAAUGGCGAAAGCAGUCUUCUGGACGAACACUGACGCUGAGGCGUGAAAGCGUGGGUAGCGUACAGGAUUAGAUA